AGUGAACGCUGGCGGUAGGCCUAACACAUGCAAGUCGAACGGCAGCACAGUAAGAGCUUGCUCUUACGGGUGGCGAGUGGCGGACGGGUGAGGAAUACAUCGGAAUCUACUUUUUCGUGGGGGAUAACGUAGGGAAACUUACGCUAAUACCGCAUACGACCUACGGGUGAAAGCAGGGGAUCUUCGGACCUUGCGCGAAUGAAUGAGCCGAUGUGGGAUUAGCUAGUUGGCGGGGUAAAGGCCCACCAAGGCCGCGAUCCGUAGCUGGUCUGAGAGGAUGAUCAGCCACACUGGAACUGAGACACGGUCCAGACUCCUACGGGAGGCAGCAGUGGGGAAUAUUGGACAAUGGGCGCAAGCCUGAUCCAGCCAUACCGCGUGGGUGAAGAAGGCCUUCGGGUUGUAAAGCCCUUUUGUUGGGAAAGAAAAGCAGCAGGUUAAUACCCCGCUGUUCUGACGGUACCCAAAGAAUAAGCACCGGCUAACUUCGUG
Molecule: ribosomal RNA, 492 nt
Filed under: uncultured bacterium
Lineage: Bacteria
Description: partial 16S ribosomal RNA
Rfam family: Bacterial small subunit ribosomal RNA
Source: RNAcentral